RNAcentral lists this long non-coding RNA (235 nucleotides) under Arachis ipaensis. Its description in RNAcentral is "long non-coding RNA (AIPA_LNC001961)". The record is from RNAcentral. Lineage: Eukaryota; Viridiplantae; Streptophyta; Magnoliopsida; Fabales; Fabaceae.
CCCAUAAUAAAUCUCUUUUUAAAAUCAAACCAGCUCAAAUACUAAAUCAUUUAUAAAGUCACUAACUCAAAAUUAAAUCAUUUCCAAAGUUAAUCCAGUUUCAUAUUCCAAAUCAUUUCCAAAGCCAAUUCCUUUACAUUAUCAAAAAUAGCUUCAAAACCAAGAAAAGCCAUUUUUCAUAAUUAUCAACUAAAUAACCUUUCAAACUAAUUUCUUUUCAGCAAUCACAAACUAC